RNAcentral lists this ribosomal RNA (1358 nucleotides) under metagenome. RNAcentral describes it as "bacterial SSU rRNA". It matches the Rfam family "Bacterial small subunit ribosomal RNA", at positions 8 to 1325 of the family's 1533-position model. The record is from RNAcentral.
AGAGUUUGAUUCUGGCUCAGAACGAACGCUGGCAGCGUGGAUUAGGCAUGCAAGUCGAACGUGAAGCCGAUGAUCAAUCUUUCGGGAAAGUGAUUCGGUGGAAAGUGGCGGAAGGGUGAGUAACGCGUGGGUAAGCUACCUUUAAGUUGGGGACAACCAGAUGAAAAUCUGGCUAAUACCGAAUGUGGUCUUCUGGCACAUGUCAGGAUGACUAAAGGCGGGGAUUCUUCGGAACCUGCCGCUUGAAGAUGCACCCGCGUGCCAUCAGCUUGUUGGUAGGGUAACGGCCUACCAAGGCUUACGGCUAGCCGGCCUGAGAGGGUGACCGGCCACACUGGGACUGAGACACUGCCCAGACUCCUACGGGAGGCUGCAGUCGAGGAUCAUUCGCAAUGCGCGAAAGCGUGACGAUGCGACGCUGCGUGGGGGAUGAAGGCCUUCGGGUCGUAAACUCCUGUCAUGAGGGAAAAGUAUCCCUGCAAUCAAUAGUUGCGGGGCUCGAUGGUACCUCAAGAGGAAGCCACGGCUAACUCUGUACCAGCCGCGGUAAUACAGAGGUGGCGAGCGUUGUUCGGAUUUACUGGGCGUAAAGGGUGCGUAGGUGGUUUUGUGUGUCGGAUGUGAAAGCCCAUGGCUCAACCGUGGAAUUGCAUUCGAAACUGCAGGACUAGAGUGCAGGAUGGGAGAGCGGAAUUUUUGGUGUAGCGGUGAAAUGCGUUGAUAUCAAGAAGAACACCGGUGGCGAAGGCGGCUCUCUGGAAUGCUACUGACACUGAGGCACGAAAGCUGGGGGAGCAAACAGGAUUAGAUACCCUGGUAGUCCCAGCCGUAAACGGUGCACACUUGGUGUGGGGAGAUUUAACCCUCUCCGUGCCGGAGCUAACGCGUUAAGUGUGCCGCCUGGGGAGUACGGCCGCAAGGCUAAAACUCAAAGAAAUUGACGGGGGCCCGCACAAGCGGAGGAGCAUGUGGCUUAAUUCGAUGCAACGCGAAGAACCUUACCAGGGCUUGACAUAUACCUGCAAACCCCGUGAAAGCGGGGAAUCCUUCGAGGGUGGUAUACAGGUGCUGCAUGGCUGUCGUCAGUUCGUGCCGUGAGGUGUUGGGUUAAGUCCCGUAACGAACGCAACCCUUGUGACUAGUUGCCACCGGCGGUGAUGAGCCGUCGAGCACUCUAGUCAGACUGCCCGUACAAGCGGGAGGAAGGUGGGGAUGACGUCAAGUCAGUAUGGCCCUUACGCCCUGGGCUGCACACGUGCUACAAUGGUCGGUACAAUGGGAUGCAAUACCGCGAGGUGGAGCCAAUCCUGAAAGCCGGCCCCAGUUCGGAUUGAAGUCUGCAACUCGACUUCAUGAAG